RNA transcript from Beta vulgaris subsp. vulgaris (sugar beet), 6188 nucleotides. It is a transcript of the gene named callose synthase 11, with no coding region annotated. The transcript is spliced from 4 exons. Lineage: Eukaryota; Viridiplantae; Streptophyta; Magnoliopsida; Caryophyllales; Amaranthaceae. The record is from RefSeq and is a predicted model, not a curated record.
CAACAACAACAGUCAUUCUUCAGUCUUCCACUUUUCUCUUCAUCCACUUCCCCCACUUUCCAUCUUUUUUUCUCUAUCCUCCAUUUCUUCCCCCACUCUCCCAUCACCAAUAACUAAGUAUUAAUACCAUUUUACGAUAAUUUAUGGUAAGACGUGGGUAACUUGUUUUUUUCCGAUUCUAAAAUAAUGAAUCGGAGGCCGAGGGCGAACCCAACUCGCCCAUACCCUCACGCACCACCACCACCCACAACAACACACCAACCUUUCAACAUAAUCCCAAUCCAUGACAUCCUAAGUAACCACCCUUCCACGCGCUACCCUGAAGUACGCGCCGCCUCUUCUUCCUUACGCGCCGUCGAAGACCUCCGCAAACCACCUUUUCACACGUGGCAUGAUAACUAUGACCUCCUUGAUUGGUUGGGUCUUUUCUUUGGUUUUCAAAACGACAACGUUCGUAACCAAAGAGAGCAUCUUGUACUUCACUUAGCAAACUCUCAAAUGAGGCUUACUCCACCUCCUCAAAACGCUGCCGUUUUGGAAUUUGAUCUUGUCAGAAAGUUCAGGAAGAAGCUUUUAACGAAUUACAGUCGUUGGUGUUCUUAUGUUGGUAAAAAGUCACGGGUUCGAAUCCACAGGUUGAGGAAAAACACAGAUGAAUUUCGAAGGGAGUUGUUGUAUGUUUCUUUAUACUUGCUUAUUUGGGGUGAGUCUGCUAAUUUAAGGUUUAUGCCUGAAUGUAUUUGUUAUAUUUACCAUCAUAUGGCACAUGAGCUUAAUUUGAUACUUGAUGAUCGUGAUGACCCAGAAACUGGUAGACCUUAUUUGCCUGUAAUAAGUGGUGAGAAUGGAUUUUUGAACUAUGUUGUGAAACCCCUUUAUGAUACUAUUAAAGAUGAGGUUGGUUUUAGUAAGGGUGGGAGUAAGCCGCAUUCAGCGUGGCGGAAUUAUGAUGAUUUGAACGAGUUUUUUUGGAGUAGGAGGUGUUUUAGGUCGCUUAAGUGGCCUUUAGAUUUGAGUAGUACCUAUUUUUCGAGUGCUAGUAAGGGGACGAGGGUUGGGAAGACGGGGUUUGUGGAGCAAAGGUCGUUUUGGAAUGUGUUUCGGAGUUUCGAUAGGAUGUGGGUGUUUUUGUUGUUGUUCUUGCAGGCUAUGUUGAUUGUGGCAUUGGAGGGGACUAAGUGGCCGUGGGAAGCAGUGGGGAGGAGGGAUGUUCAGGUGAAGUUGCUUACGGUUUUUAUCACUUGGGCGGGGCUUAGGCUUUUGCAGUCUGUUCUUGAUGCAGGGACGCAGUAUAGUUUGGUGACUCGAGAGACGUGGUUGCUUGGGGUGAGGAUGGUGCUUAAGUGCAUGGUGGCUAUGGCUUGGAUUGUUGUGUUCUCUGUGUUCUAUGCUAGGAUUUGGAGUCAGAAUGAGAGAGAUCGUGGGAGGUGGUUAUACCAGGGAGAACAAAGGAUACUCAUGUUUCUUAAGGCGGUUUUUGUGUUUGUCAUCCCGGAAUUGUUGGCCGUGGUCCUUUUUCUACUUCCUUGGCUUAGGAACUUUCUAGAGGAGGUCAAUUUCCCUCUCUUCCACUUGCUUACCUGGUGGUUUCAUAGGCGGAUUUUUGUGGGUCGUGGUGUCAGGGAAGGGCUGCUUAACAAUGUAAAGUACAGCUCAUUUUGGGUUACAGUUUUGGUUUCGAAAUUUGCAUUUAGCUACUUUUUUCAGAUCAAACCCUUGAUUGAUCCAACAAGGGCCCUUUUGAGAUUGAGGAAUGUAGAGUAUAACUGGCACGAAUUUUUCAGUAACACAAACAGAAUAGCGGUUGUCAUGCUGUGGCUUCCUGUCAUUAUAAUCUAUCUCGUGGAUCUGCAGAUAUGGUAUUCUAUUUACUCCUCGGUUGUUGGUGCCUAUGUUGGAUUAUUCUCACAUUUGGGUGAGAUUCGAAAUAUUUGGCAGCUCAGGCUCAGGUUUCAAUUCUUCGCUAGUGCCAUGCAGUUUAAUCUGAUGCCAGAGGAGCAGUUGCCCACUGUGCCAGUGAUUAAUGUCGUGCACAAGCUUAGGGAUGCGGUGAAGAGACUGAAGCUGCGUUAUGGACUGGGGCAGCCCUACAAGAAGAUAGAAUCUAGCCAGGUGGAGGCAACACGUUUUGCCUUGUUGUGGAAUGAGAUAAUGAAAUAUAUGAGGGAAGAAGAUCUUCUUAGUGAUAGAGAAGUGGAACUUUUGGAGCUUCCACCCAACUGUUGGAAUAUUAGGGUUGUUCGCUGGCCGUGUAUUCUGCUAUGUAAUGAACUUCUUCUCUCUGUCUGCCAGGCAGAAGCGACGGCCAAUGUUCAUGACAGGUCGCUCUGGUAUAAGAUAUGCAAUAGCGAGUACAGGAGGUGUGCAAUCAUAGAGGCCUAUGAUAGCAUCAAACACUUGCUUCUUGAGCAGGUUGUUAAAUAUAAUACCGAAGAGCAUGCUAUCGUCACUAGAGCUUUCCUUGAGAUGGAACACUACAUGGAGAUCGAGAAGUUCACUGCAUUCUAUAAUCUUACUCUGCUACCGCGGAUUCACAAGAAAUUGUUAACUCUUAUAGAGCUCCUGCAAAGAGCAGAGAAGGAUACUAAUGGGAUAAUUAAUGUCUUACAGGCGCUAUAUGAGCUCUGUGUUCGCGAAUUUCCAAGAAUUAAGAGGACGAUGGUGGAGUUGAGGGAGCAGGGUUUGGCACUUAAAAAUCCCGCAGGAUUUCUUUUUGCGAAUGCUGUUGAAUUUCCUGAUGAAGAGGAUGUGUUCUAUUACAGACAGCUGCGCCGCUUGCAUACACUAAUGACUUCUAGGGAUUCUAUGCACAAUGUACCAAUGAAUCGGGAGGCUCGGAGACGUAUUGCCUUCUUCAGCAACUCUGUGUUCAUGAACAUGCCUCACGCUCCUCAAGUGGAAAAGAUGUUGGCCUUCAGUGUAUUGACUCCUUAUUAUGAUGAGGACGUAAUAUAUGGGACUAGCAAACUCCAGAGCGCAAAUGAGGAUGGCAUCUCCAUCUUGUUCUAUCUGCAGAAAAUUUAUGAGGAUGAGUGGAAUAAUUUCAUGGAGCGGAUGCGGAGGGAAGGUUUAGAAGAUGAGAGAGAAAUUUGGACAACAAAGGUCAAGGAAUUGCGUCUUUGGGCAUCAUACCGGGGCCAGACUCUCUCCCGCACCGUGAGGGGAAUGAUGUAUUAUUAUCAUGCUCUCAAGAUGCUCGCCUUUCUGGAUUCAGCAUCAGAAGUAGACAUAAGGACCGGUUGUCAACAAAUUGCCUCGCAUGGCUCAUUGAGUCUGAGCAAUAAUUGGGAUGGCUUAGGCUCCAUCAGAGUUCCAUCUUCACGGAACCUUGGAAGAACACCUAGUGGCGUGAACAUCCUAUACAAAGGUAACGAGUUUGGGACUGCUAUGAUGAAGUUCACUUAUGUGGUAACCUGUCAGGUUUAUGGGAUCCACAAAAUGGCAGGGGAUUCCCGUGCUGAGGAGAUUUUGUAUUUGAUGAAAAAUAAUGAGGCUCUUCGUGUUGCUUAUGUUGAUGAGGUACACCUCGGAAGGGAUGAGGUAGAGUACUUUUCGGUUCUUGUCAAGUACGAUCAGCAGCUGCAGAGAGAGGUGGAGAUCUACAGGAUCAAGCUGCCUGGUCCUGUGAAACUGGGAGAAGGAAAGCCCGAGAACCAGAAUCAUGCCAUCGUUUUUACUCGAGGUGACGCUCUUCAGACAAUCGACAUGAAUCAAGACAAUUAUUUUGAGGAAGCUCUUAAGAUACGAAACCUCUUGGAGGAAUUUAACAGGAACUAUGGGAUUCGGAAACCAACUAUUCUUGGAGUUCGAGAAAACAUUUUCACGGGGUCUGUGUCCUCCCUUGCUUGGUUUAUGUCUGCUCAGGAGACGAGUUUUGUCACUCUUGGCCAACGUGUUCUGGCAAAUCCUCUCAAAGUGCGAAUGCACUACGGUCACCCAGAUGUAUUUGAUAGGUUUUGGUUUCUUACUCGUGGUGGAGUGAGCAAGGCUUCUAAAUUGAUCAACUUGAGUGAAGAUAUAUUUGCUGGUUUCAACUGCACGCUUCGAAGUGGCGAUGUAACACAUCAUGAGUACAUACAGGUGGGUAAAGGAAGGGAUGUUGGGUUAAAUCAAAUUGCCAUGUUCGAAGCUAAGGUUGCUAGUGGAAAUGGGGAGCAGGUUCUCAGCAGGGACGUGUAUAGGUUGGGCCAUCGACUGGACUUCUUCCGGAUGCUUUCAGUCUUCUAUACCACUGUGGGUUUCUGUUUUAAUACAAUGAUGGUGGUGAUGUCUAUCUAUAUGUUUUUGUGGGGCCGCCUAUAUCUUGCUCUUAGUGGUGUUGAGCGUCACGCUCUUAGAUUUAGAAAUACCAGCAAUAAUGCAGCCUUAGGUGCUAUUGUGAAUCAGCAGUUCAUCAUCCAAAUUGGCCUUUUUACUGCUCUCCCGAUGAUUGUGGAGAAUUCUCUGGAGCAUGGUUUCCUUCCAGCAAUAUGGGACUUCUUGAAAAUGCAGCUGCAGCUAGCAUCGGUGUUUUACACCUUCUCUAUGGGAACUAGAUCCCAUUAUUUUGGCCGAACAAUUCUUCACGGAGGUGCCAAAUACAGACCUACUGGACGUGGGUUCGUUGUGCAGCAUAAAAAAUUUGCAGAGAAUUACAGGCUUUAUUCCCGUAGCCAUUUUGUGAAGGCAAUUGAACUUGGGGUAAUCCUGACUGUGUAUGCUUCUCAUAGCCCACUGGCCACAAAUACAUUCGUGUACAUAGCCAUGUCGGUCUCUAGCUGGUUCCUUGUAUUUUCUUGGAUAAUGGCUCCAUUUAUUUUCAAUCCAUCUGGCUUCGAUUGGUUGAAGACUGUGUACGAUUUUGAUGAUUUUAUAACCUGGAUAUGGUACGGUAGUGGAGUGUCCACGAAGGCAGAGCGGAGCUGGGAAACCUGGUGGUAUGAAGAGCAGGAACAUCUCAAAACUACUGGUUUGUGGGGGAAGCUAUUGGAGAUUAUAUUGGAUCUACGCUUCUUCUUCUUCCAGUACAGUAUUGUGUACCAGCUGAAUAUAACGGCUAACAGGACCAGUAUUGGUGUGUAUUUUAUCUCUUGGCUCUACUUCUUUGGACUUGUUGGGAUAUGUGUGAUCGUAGCAUAUGCCCGGGACAAGUAUGGUGCUAGAAAGCAUAUCUACUUCCGGAUUAUUCAGUCCUCUGUCAUAUCACUUACUGUAUUGGUGAUUAUCAUAUUGUUGAGAUUCACCAGGUUUCAAGUUAUGGAUCUUUUGACUAGUGCAUUGGCAUUGAUACCGACGGGCUGGGCCAUGAUUCUAAUUGCUCAGGUGCUCCGUCCCUUUCUGCAAACAUCAGUAGUCUGGGAUACUGUGGUGUCCUUGGCUCGACUCUAUGAUUUGACAUUUGGCAUUAUAGUUAUGGCUCCUGUGGCUUUCUUAUCAUGGAUGCCUGGAUUCCAGUCAAUGCAAACUAGGAUUCUUUUCAAUGAAGGUUUCAGCCGGGGCCUCCAAAUUUCACAACUUCUUACUGCCAAAUGAUAAGUGCAACCUUUUGAAUGUGAAUAGAGAUUUUGCGUCAUCAGUAUUGUGUGGAAAUGGUUGCAAAUAGACUUGCAACAUAUAUAUCUGAUCAAGGAAGCUGCUGUACGCCUGUACGUAUCACAUGAUUUUCCCUUCAUCGCUAACCUAGAUAAUGAUGUAACAGACAAGCAGCAGUUGUAAGAAAGCCUGUUCUUAGGCCAUUACUUGAAGGCAAAUGAGGUUGUUUCAAUGUGAAGUUGGUUGAGACAAUAAGAGUUUACUGACAGGUAUCAGAAACUUUUCUGCUUUUCAUUGCACUGCAGCAGCAAUUACUAGUCGAAGAAAGCAAACCUGGAUAUCAAUUGGCAAGCAAGGUCUUCUAAUAGCAUGCAGUCAUGCACUUAAAACAGGAAAUGUUACGGCGAAGAAUUCGUGUUCUGGUACUGAUGGCAAAGUAUAUAACCGAGAAGCUUAUCUAGCAAAGUCUGAUAUCUGGAAAUGUUCAGCAGUUUGCAUCAACAUGUUGAUAAAUUUAGUGUUAAUGUGUAUAUGUCGAUGAAUUUCUCUCGGAAAGGAGUUCGUUUACUUGAUCAACUAGCAUGUAAUCAAAAGAAAUACUUUAAUAACACGAAUCAUUUAGCCUAUUAUUUAAUUAAUACGUUGUCAAAGCUAAUUAUUAUUUGGGAAAUUUGCAA